This 503-nucleotide unclassified non-coding RNA is filed under the name uncultured Glomus. Its description in RNAcentral is "SSU rRNA". It matches the Rfam family "Eukaryotic small subunit ribosomal RNA", at positions 569 to 1076 of the family's 1831-position model. The record is from RNAcentral. Lineage: Eukaryota; Fungi; Glomeromycota; Glomeromycetes; Glomerales; Glomeraceae.
AGCAGCCGCGGUAAUUCCAGCUCCAAUAGCGUAUAUUAAAGUUGUUGCGGUUAAAAGCUCGUAGUUGAAUUUCGGGGUUAGCAGGUCGGUCGUGCCAUCGGUAUGAACUGGUCUCGCUGAUCCCUCCCUCUUGACGAACUGUGAUGCCAUUAAUUUGGUGUCGCAGGGAAUCAGGACUGUUACUUUGAAAAAUUAGAGUGUUUAAAGCAGGCUCACGCUUGAAUACAUUAGCAUGGAAUAAUGAAAUAGGACGCUUGAUCCUAUUUUGUUGGCUUCUAGGAUUGACGUAAUGAUUAAUAGGGAUAGUUGGGGGCAUUAGUAUUCAAUUGUCAGAGGUGAAAUUCUUGGAUUUAUUGAAGACUAACUACUGCGAAAGCAUUUGCCAAGGAUGUUUUCAUUAAUCAAGAACGAAAGUUAGGGGAUCGAAGACGAUCAGAUACCGUCGUAGUCUUAACCAUAAACUAUGCCGACUAGGGAUCGGAUGAUGUUAAUUUUUAAUGACU